Molecule: ribosomal RNA, 486 nt
Filed under: uncultured bacterium
Lineage: Bacteria
Description: partial 16S ribosomal RNA
Rfam family: Bacterial small subunit ribosomal RNA
Source: RNAcentral
AUUGAACGCUGGCGGCAUGCCUUACACAUGCAAGUCGAACGGCAGCACGGGUGCUUGCACCUGGUGGCGAGUGGCGAACGGGUGAGUAAUACAUCGGAACAUGUCCUGUAGUGGGGGAUAGCCCGGCGAAAGCCGGAUUAAUACCGCAUACGAUCUACGGAAGAAAGCGGGGGACAUUCGGGCCUCGCGCUAUAGGGUUGGCCGAUACCUGAUUGGCUAGUUGGUGGGGUAAAGGCCUACCAAGGCGACGAUCAGUAGCUGGUCUGAGAGGACGACCAGCCACACUGGGACUGAGACACGGCCCAGACUCCUACGGGAGGCAGCAGUGGGGAAUUUUGGACAAUGGGCGAAAGCCUGAUCCAGCAAUGCCGCGUGUGUGAAGAAGGCCUUCGGGUUGUAAAGCACUUUUGUCCGGAAAGAAAUCCUUGGCUCUAAUACAGUCGGGGGAUGACGGUACCGGAAGAAUAAGCACCGGCUAACUACGUG